Molecule: ribosomal RNA, 254 nt
Filed under: uncultured bacterium
Lineage: Bacteria
Description: partial 16S ribosomal RNA
Rfam family: Bacterial small subunit ribosomal RNA
Source: RNAcentral
UACGGAGGGUGCGAGCGUUGUUCGGAAUUAUUGGGCGUAAAGCGCACGUAGGCGGUCCUUUAAGUCUCUUGGUGAAAUGCCGGGGCUCAACCCCGUGCCGGCCGGGGAUACUGGGGGACUGGAGACAGGUAGAGGCGAGCGGAAUUCCGGGUGUAGCGGUGGAAUGCGUAGAGAUCCGGAAGAACACCAGAGGCGAAGGCGGCUCGCUGGACCUGAUCUGACGCUGAGGUGCGAAAGCGUGGGGAGCGAACAGG